RNAcentral lists this non-coding RNA (47 nucleotides) under Helianthus annuus (common sunflower). RNAcentral describes it as "sRNA HanXRQr2_Chr09g0393121". It matches the Rfam family "Histone 3' UTR stem-loop". Rfam says of the family: The mRNAs of metazoan histone genes lack a poly-A tail. 3' end processing occurs at a site between a highly conserved stem-loop (modelled by this family) and a purine rich region around 20 nts downstream (the histone downstream element, or HDE). The record is from RNAcentral. Lineage: Eukaryota; Viridiplantae; Streptophyta; Magnoliopsida; Asterales; Asteraceae.
AAACUGGUUUUUAUCAAAACCACACUCUUAGAUAUAACAAUUGGUAU